GAUGAACGCUAGCGGCAGGCCUAACACAUGCAAGUCGAGGGGCAGCACAGAAACAGCAAUGUUUUGGUGGCGACCGGCGGACGGGUGCGUAACGCGUAUGCAACCUACCUUUAACAGGGGGAUAACGGAGAGAAAUUUCCACUAAUACCCCAUAACAUCGAUCAAGGCAUCUUGAUUGGUUGAAAACUCCGGUGGUUAAAGAUGGGCAUGCGUUGGAUUAGGUAGUUGGUGAGGUAAUGGCUCACCAAGCCUACGAUACAUAGGGGGACUGAGAGGUUAGCCCCCCACACAGGUACUGAGACAAGGACCAGACUCCUACGGGAGGCAGCAGUGAGGAAUAUUGGUCAAUGGGGGCAACCCUGAACCAGCCAUGCCGCGUGCAGGAAGACGGCUCUAUGAGUUGUAAACUGCUUUUAAACAGGGAUAAAGCACAGUAUGUAUACUGUGCUGAAGGUACUGUAAGAAUAAGGAUCGGCUAACUCCGUACCAGCCGCCGCCGUAA
This 502-nucleotide ribosomal RNA is filed under the name uncultured bacterium. Its description in RNAcentral is "partial 16S ribosomal RNA". It matches the Rfam family "Bacterial small subunit ribosomal RNA", at positions 28 to 523 of the family's 1533-position model. The record is from RNAcentral.